ACUCCUACGGGAGGCAGCAGUGGGGAAUCUUAGACAAUGGGGGCAACCCUGAUCUAGCCAUGCCGCGUGAGUGAUGAAGGCCCUAGGGUUGUAAAGCUCUUUCAGCUGGGAAGAUAANGACGGUACCAGCAGAAGAAGCCCCGGCUAACUCCGUGCCAGCAGCCGCGGUAAU
This 172-nucleotide ribosomal RNA is filed under the name uncultured bacterium. Its description in RNAcentral is "partial 16S ribosomal RNA". It matches the Rfam family "Bacterial small subunit ribosomal RNA", at positions 335 to 524 of the family's 1533-position model. The record is from RNAcentral.